AUCCACAGGUAGCAGACGACAAUACAAUUUAAAGUGGAAAUUUGCGACUUCUGGUGUGUCUGCUACUCGAUGUUGUGAUCUCAGUUACUUCCCCUGACGUUCAGUAUAUGAAAUGAGGGUCGAGUUUCAGGAUUUGAAAUUAAGAAAGAACGAAAGAUAUGAAAUGAGCACCGGCAAACUGAUCUUGGCAUGUUACAUCCUUAUCACAGAACUGGAACCUACUGAUUAUGAUGAGAAAUAUGGAACAUGGUAAAUUGAGCAGGUGAAGGAAUGAAGAAAACACCACCCUCUUUACAGUCAGCAAAAUAACUAUGUUUCCGGUUUGGAACUACUGCAUGCCGUUACAACAUAUGUGACAAAGAUAUUUUAAUCCACCUGAUACGAUUUGGUAUCUUUCUGAAAAUGUCAUGUUCAAAUUCUGAAUAGUGUUUUUUUCUGCCAAGUUUAAGAAAUAUAUUGCCAUGUAACUGUCUAAUAUUUAUGGCAAUUAUGAAGUAAUAGUAAGUUUUUGGCGAAGUAAUGAAAACCAGAAAAAGGUGUUUCCUCGAUUAGAUUUUCUACAUGAGCUUGAAAAAAUAACACCUUCAUGAAUGCCUUGAUGUGAACAGAAUAGAAGGGAUAUUUUAUUUGCUUUUUACAUAGUACAUCAUAUUUAACAUACUGUACCGUCAAUGAAUUGAAAUUGCAUAAAUUAGUAUAAUUGCAAUAAUGAAUAAUGCACUUUUUGAUCAGGAAUGCACAUUUAUUAAGACUUAAUAUAUAUG
Ruditapes philippinarum (Manila clam) is the source of this 764-nucleotide long non-coding RNA. RefSeq lists it as uncharacterized. The record is from RefSeq and is a predicted model, not a curated record. The transcript is spliced from 3 exons. Lineage: Eukaryota; Metazoa; Mollusca; Bivalvia; Venerida; Veneridae.